Molecule: ribosomal RNA, 460 nt
Filed under: uncultured bacterium
Lineage: Bacteria
Description: partial 16S ribosomal RNA
Rfam family: Bacterial small subunit ribosomal RNA
Source: RNAcentral
CCUACGGGGUGCUGCAGUGAGGAAUAUUGGUCAAUGGCCGGAAGGCUGAACCAGCCAUGCCGCGUGAAGGUCAGUGCCCUAUGGGCGUUAAACUUCUUUUGUGCGGGAGCAAUAAUGGUCACGUUUGGCCAGACGAGAGUACCGUACGAAUAAGCAUCGGCUAACUCCGUGCCAGCAGCCGCGGUAAUACGGGGAGUGCAAGCGUUAUCCGGAUUUUUUGGGUUUAAAGGGUGGGUAGGGUGGGAGGUAAGUCCGGGGUGAAAUGCCCCCGCUCAACGGGGUGAAGUGCCAUUGAUACUGCCUGGCUGGAAGGCGGAUGCAGUGGGAGGAAUGUGGGGUGUAGCGGUGAAAUGCAUAGAUAUCACGCAGAACCCCGAUUGCGAAGGCAGCCUUCCGGCGCCCUACUGACGCUGAGGCACGAAAGUGCGGGGAUCGAACAGGAUUAGAUACCCGAGUAGUC